GACGAACGCUGGCGGCGUGCCUAAUACAUGCAAGUAGAACGCUGAAGGAGGAGCUUGCUUCUCUGGAUGAGUUGCGAACGGGUGAGUAACGCGUAGGUAACCUGCCUGGUAGCGGGGGAUAACUAUUGGAAACGAUAGCUAAUACCGCAUAAGAGUGGAUGUUGCAUGACAUUUGCUUAAAAGGUGCACUUGCAUCACUACCAGAUGGACCUGCGUUGUAUUAGCUAGUUGGUGGGGUAAGGGCUCACCAAGGCGACGAUACAUAGCCGACCUGAGAGGGUGAUCGGCCACACUGGGACUGAGACACGGCCCAGACUCCUACGGGAGGCAGCAGUAGGGAAUCUUCGGCAAUGGACGGAAGUCUGACCGAGCAACGCCGCGUGAGUGAAGAAGGUUUUCGGAUCGUAAAGCUCUGUUGUAAGAGAAGAACGAGUGUGAGAGUGGAAAGUUCACACUGUGACGGUAUCUUACCAGAAAGGGACGGCUAACUACGUGCCAGCAGCCGCGGUAAUACGUAGGUCCCGAGCGUUGUCCGGAUUUAUUGGGCGUAAAGCGAGCGCAGGCGGUUAGAUAAGUCUGAAGUUAAAGGCUGUGGCUUAACCAUAGUAGGCUUUGGAAACUGUUUAACUUGAGUGCAAGAGGGGAGAGUGGAAUUCCAUGUGUAGCGGCGAAAUGCGUAGAUAUAUGGAGGAACACCGGUGGCGAAAGCGGCUCUCUGGCUUGUAACUGACGCUGAGGCUCGAAAGCGUGGGGAGCAAACAGGAUUAGAUACCCUGGUAGUCCACGCUGUAAACGAUGAGUGCUAGGUGUUAGACCCUUUCCGGGGUUUAGUGCCGUAGCUAACGCAUUAAGCACUCCGCCUGGGGAGUACGACCGCAAGGUUGAAACUCAAAGGAAUUGACGGGGGCCCGCACAAGCGGUGGAGCAUGUGGUUCAAUUCGAAGCAACGCGAAGAACCUUACCAGGUCUUGACAUCCCUCUGACCGCUCUAGAGAUAGAGCUUUCCUUCGGGACAGAGGUGACAGGUGGUGCAUGGUUGUCGUCAGCUCGUGUCGUGAGAUGUUGGGUCAAGUCCCGCAACGAGCGCAACCCCUAUUGUUAGUUGCCAUCAUUUAGUUGGGCACUCUAGCGAGACUGCCGGUAAUAAGCCGGAGGAAGGUGGGGAUGACGUCAAAUCAUCAUGCCCCUUAUGACCUGGGCUACACACGUGCUACAAUGGCUGGUACAACGAGUCGCAAGCCGGUGACGGCAAGCUAAUCUCUUAAAGCCAGUCUCAGUUCGGAUUGUAGGCUGCAGCUCGCCUACAUGAAGUCGGAAUCGCUAGUAAUCGCGGAUCAGCACGCCGCGGUGAAUACGUUCCCGGGCCU
RNAcentral lists this ribosomal RNA (1367 nucleotides) under uncultured bacterium. RNAcentral describes it as "bacterial SSU rRNA". It matches the Rfam family "Bacterial small subunit ribosomal RNA", at positions 28 to 1381 of the family's 1533-position model. The record is from RNAcentral.